Molecule: long non-coding RNA, 573 nt
Organism: Paramormyrops kingsleyae
Lineage: Eukaryota; Metazoa; Chordata; Actinopteri; Osteoglossiformes; Mormyridae
Source: RefSeq, a predicted model, not a curated record
GUCCCCAGGGGCUGACUGGGUGAAAUGAGCUUCUCAGUGAUCUCAAAUCAUCUCUUUCAUGGUCCAGUUACAUUCUGACUGUCUCCAGAACCCACAGAGUGCUUCUUUCUGUCAACAACUAACACAGACCAGACCAACCAAUCAAUAUCUUUGCCAUGGUUGCACGUAAUGUGUCAGACAGUGGUGGCGCUGCUUGGCUUGUUGUGAAAAUAAUUGGUAGUAAACAGAUAAUAUCUUUUCUUCAAGGGGAAAAAGACUGAGCAUAUGAGAUGAAUGAUGCCACCAGCGACACCACAGAGGUGGAAAUCAAACUGACAGAAGGAGAUGGGGAAUGUUCCAGAAAAACAGGAGUUGGGCACAGAGGAGUCAGAAAAUCCUGGCAAAAUGUCAUUUUGGGCUCCAAUGCCCACACUUAAAUGAUAUAAUUUUGUACUUUUGUGUAUUCAAGGGUCCCUACAAAUUUUAGUAAUGCAAUUAUAUUAUAUUGUUUAAUACUAUUGAAUACUAUAUUGUUUAAUGCUAUUGUUCAGUUUUUAAUACAAUGACCCAGUGCUUCAUCCUUUUACUGCUAUU